Papilio polytes (common Mormon) is the source of this 382-nucleotide long non-coding RNA. RefSeq lists it as uncharacterized. The record is from RefSeq and is a predicted model, not a curated record. NCBI's taxonomy places the organism in Eukaryota, Metazoa, Arthropoda, Insecta, Lepidoptera, Papilionidae. The transcript is spliced from 3 exons.
UUGAGGUGCAAAACAAUAUUGUUGUAUUAAAAUUCGAGGUCAAGUCGGAGUCAAAUUAAGUCCGUAAUUUCUGACUACCUGUCAAAUUAUCUCUGGAAUUUGUUGAGCGAUUUUAACGGAAUUUUGAUGCCAGUUUUUUUAAUUCAGUAACUUCUAACACACUAACUAACGCUUGCUUCGCAAUGAAUGGACACAUUUUGACGGGACUCUGACAUACGGGGCCUGCCAAAGACGUUUUAACUGUUGGAGUUUUUGACCGACUUCCCAAAAGAAGGAGCUAUAAUCUAGAUCAAGGCGAGGUUUAAGUGUAAAAUCAAGCAUGUCAGGGUUCAAUUUAAUAGGUGGCAAACUCGCAAGCGGCCUGAAUCCACCGAAAUGGAAA